UGUUUGUAGAUGGCAAAACCAAGCCGCAGA
RNAcentral lists this non-coding RNA (30 nucleotides) under Rattus norvegicus (Norway rat). The record is from RNAcentral. Lineage: Eukaryota; Metazoa; Chordata; Mammalia; Rodentia; Muridae.